UCUGACAAGUGAGACUGCCAUUUUCAAAAAUAGUUUACUACCUCGAUUUUCUAAUAACUCGAGGCAUAAAAAUGCCUUACUACCUCGUUUGCUAAUCACCCGAGGCAUAAAAGCAUCCAGACCUACCAAAAAAAUCUUAUGACGCGACCAAUGUUUUUCUUCCUCCUUGAGCGAACAGGCAUCGUCUUCCUCCACGAGCUUUCUUCUUCCUCCACAACACAAAUAGUAUUUUUUUUCAUCCUCUUCCUCUUCUCUGUUCGACACCGCGUUGGAUCCACGUUACGCAAGGGAGCGAGAUUUCUUUUCUCCUUCUUCGUCUUGAUUCUUUUCUCACAGAGAGACCCAACUUUGGGGCAACACCAGGGGUCUUACGCAAGCCAAAUAGGGUUUUCUCUUUCGUGUUGCCGAGAGGGAGGCUUCGUUCCUCUUCUCGGGAACAAGGCUUGGGAAACGGCGUGGCUGCCGGAGGACUUAACACCGAAGACGCGAGCUCCAUGGGAAAGCGGCGUCAACUUCCCUUCCUCAUCUUCCUCCCCCGCAAUGGCGGUUGACGCCGUGGCCGAGGCCGACGAGGAGACGAAAGCGUUCGUGACGGAGAUGAACGAGAAUUGGAACGAGCGGCGAAGAGGAUCGAAGGAGAAGGAGAAGAGGAAAGAAAAUGGCACGCUUUACAGCGUGGAGAAUAUGAAGAAGGAUUAUCGUUGAAGAAGCAGAGGUUGCACGCUGGACUGUGGUUGAAGGAGAUUGAGAAACUCGAGGAGGCAAAAUUGGUCGAUUCUGACAUUGCUGCUGGCGAUGACAUUCAGAGAUUGAUUGAUAGUUGCUCCGAGACGGAGCGGUGGAUGUUGUGAGUUGCAGUGAAAAUAUUAUUUGAUGUUUGCUAUUCUACAGUCCAGUCCAGUGGUUAAGUGACUAAUAAUAGAUGGUUCUGCAGAUUUUGGUUUGAAUCCCAAAGCUAGUGAUUCUUUCUCUCUCUUAUUGUCCCUUUAUUACUAUCAAGGGAAUUAUUUCGGCGAAUGAGUUCUUAUCUACCCUGAGUUUUGCCAUGAUUCCCCUUUCUCAAGUGCUCACUUUUUUCGCUUCAUGGUCCAAAUAUUUAUUCUUAUUUGUUUCGUGGUUUUUGUACUUUCUUUUCCCAUUACCUGUUUUCCCAUUGUUGAUGGACUUUGUGCUUGUUUGCAGAGGCUGCUCAAGAUGGUUGACGAUUUGAGUUUUAAAGACUUUGUGACCCUCAUAUACAUUUAGUGCCAAAGCUAAUGCACAACAUAAAAUAGAGCGUACGUUUUAAUUACAUGGAGAGGGGUGAAGGAGGGGGCGAGGUCGGAUGGAUCAGUUUUGUGAAUGUUCUGUUUGCGUGUAGUCAUCAUUCGAUUUGGGCGGUUUUGCUUUGAGCUUUCAAUAUCACAGCUGAACAUGUAGCGAAAAAGAAAAAAUCACUCUAUUGCCUCGGUUGGAUUUGAACCAAGGCAUAAGCACGCACCCCUCUACUGCCUCGAUUGGAUUUGAACUGAGGCAUAAGCACACAUCUUUUUGCCUCGGUUCAGAACCGAGGCAAAAGGCUUACCUUUUUUUACCUCGUUUGUAUAUGCCUCGGUUGCGGAACCGCUGCGUAUAAGCGAAAAAUAACCGUUGUCGUUUUCUCUUA
Long non-coding RNA from Vigna angularis (adzuki bean), 1645 nucleotides. RefSeq lists it as uncharacterized. The transcript has 2 exons. The record is from RefSeq and is a predicted model, not a curated record. Lineage: Eukaryota; Viridiplantae; Streptophyta; Magnoliopsida; Fabales; Fabaceae.